GGUCGUCAGCCGGAGGAAACAGCUCUUAUCACAGCUUGAGGUUCGAAACGAUACGGUGGUAGGGCUUUUUCUUGGAAAUGACUUGAGAUUUUCUCGGUAAAAUGCGAGAAACAGAUGCGAAACAAAGCAGGAAAAAUAAAAGAACACGUCAAGAAUCUCCCAUAGAGCGCCUCGGUGAGCUCGGACCCCCCGAAUCCCAUGCGGCCGGGCAUUGCGUCGAUGGCCGGAACGAACGCGAGGGUUAGGUUUAGAGUUAGGGUUUCUCCUGACGGGCAGAGGGCCGCGGUUGGGUGGGAUCCCUAGAUCGGGAGGGUCGUCAGCCGGAGGAAACAUCUCUUAUCACAGCUUGAUGUUCGAAACGAUACGGUGGUAGGGCUUUUUCUAGGAAAUGACGUGAGAUUUUCUCGGGAAAAUGCGAGAAACUGAUACGAAAGCAUGAG
Molecule: long non-coding RNA, 440 nt
Filed under: Vitis vinifera (wine grape)
Lineage: Eukaryota; Viridiplantae; Streptophyta; Magnoliopsida; Vitales; Vitaceae
Description: long non-coding RNA (VVIN_LNC006881)
Source: RNAcentral